RNAcentral lists this ribosomal RNA (1995 nucleotides) under gut metagenome. RNAcentral's name for it is "bacterial LSU rRNA". It matches the Rfam family "Bacterial large subunit ribosomal RNA", at positions 869 to 2925 of the family's 2925-position model. The record is from RNAcentral.
UUUAGGGCUAGCCUCAUACAAGUCUUGCGGAGGUAGAGCACUGAAUUUCCUAGGGGGCGUCAAAGCUUACCGAAGAAUAUCAAACUCCGAAUGCCGCGUAGAUGGUGUAUGGGAGUCAGACUGCACGAGAUAAGUUGGGCAGUCGAAAGGGAAAGAGCCCAGACCUGCAGCUAAGGUCCCAAAUGUGUGUUAAGUGGAAAAGGAUGUGGGAUUUCAAAGACAACUAGGAUGUUUGGCUCAGAAGCAGCCAUACAUUCAAAGAGUGCGUAAUAGCUCACUGGUCGAGAGGUCCUGCGCCGAAAAUGUCCGGGGCUGAAACACACUGCCGAAGCUCGGGAAUGACGAAGUCUUGGUAGAGGAGCAUUGCAGAGGAAGCGGUACCGAAGGAGCCGUGGAGGGUAGAAGAGAGAAUGCCGGAAUGAGUAGCGAGAGGAAGGUGGGAAUCCUUCCGGCCGAAUAUCCAAGGUUUCCAGGUAAAGCUGAUCUGCUCUGGGUAAGUCGGGGCCUAAGGCGAGGCGAGAGGCGUAGCCGAUGGAAACAGGUUGAGAUUCCUGUACCGCGUGUACAGAACUGUGGGGACACGUGUGGAAAGGGCAUGCCGGGAAGGAAAGACCGGCGCAAGCGGGGGAGAGAGAUGCAGGCAAAUCCGCAUGUCAAUCCGGGACCGUGAGCGGACGAAAAAGAGUAGCGAAGUGCCGUGCCAUGCGUCAAGAAAAGCCGCUAUGGCUGUAUACGCGCCCGUACCGUAAACCGACACAGGUGGAUGAGGAGAGAAUCCUAAGGCCGACGGAGAAGCAUUGUUAAGGAACUCGGCAAAAUGACUCCGUAACUUCGGGAGAAGGAGUGCCGGUGAGAGCCGGCCGCAGAGAAUUGGCCCAAGCAACUGUUUAGCAAAAACAGGUCUGUGCGAAACCGAAAGGUGAAGUAUACGGGCUGACGCCUGCCCGGUGCUGGAAGGUUAAGGGGAGAGGUUAGCGCAAGCGAAGCUUUGAACUUAAGCCCCAGUAAACGGCGGCCGUAACUAUAACGGUCCUAAGGUAGCGAAAUUCCUUGUCGGGUAAGUUCCGACCCGCACGAAAGGCGUAAUGAUUUGGGCACUGUCUCGACAAUGCACCCGGUGAAAUUGAAAUACCAGUGAAGAUGCUGGUUACCUGCGCCAGGACGGAAAGACCCCAUGGAGCUUUACUCCAGCUGAUACUGGGAUUCGGUAUUGCAUGUACAGGAUAGGUGGGAGCGAGAAGCGGUGACGCCAGUUGCCGCGGAGCCGCUGUUGGGAUACCACCCUUGUGAUACUGGGUUUCUAACCGGGGCCGUAAGCCGGUGGGACAAUGUCAGGCGGGGAGUUUGACUGGGGCGGUCGCCUCCGAAAGGGUAUCGGAGGCGCUCAAAGGUUCCCUCAGAAUGGUUGGAAACCAUUCGGAAGAGUGCAAAGGCAGAAGGGAGCUUGACUGCGACACCGACGGGUGGAGCAGGUACGAAAGUAGGACUUAGUGAUCCGGUGGUAGAAAGUGGGAUUGCCAUCGCUCAACGGAUAAAAGCUACCCUGGGGAUAACAGGCUUAUCACUCCCAAGAGUUCACAUCGACGGAGUGGUUUGGCACCUCGAUGUCGGCUCAUCGCAUCCUGGGGCUGAGUAGGUCCCAAGGGUUGGGCUGUUCGCCCAUUAAAGCGGUACGCGAGCUGGGUUCAGAACGUCGUGAGACAGUUCGGUCCCUAUCCGGCGUGGGCGCAGGAUAUCUGAGAGGAGCUGUCCUUAGUACGAGAGGACCGGGAUGGACCGGCCGCUGGUGUACUGCUGGCUCACCAGGCCAUGGCAGAGUAGCCAAGCCGGGACGGGAUAAACGCUGAAGGCAUCUAAGCGUGAAGCCCCCCUCAAGAUGAGAUAUCCCACGUAAGGUAGUAAGACCCCUUGAAGACGACGAGGUAGAUAGGGCAGGGGUGGAAGUGCAGUAAUGCAUGGAGCUGACUGCUACUAAUCGGUCGAGGGCAUGACCAA